This is a long non-coding RNA of Mesocricetus auratus (golden hamster), 953 nucleotides long. RefSeq lists it as uncharacterized. The transcript is spliced from 5 exons. NCBI's taxonomy places the organism in Eukaryota, Metazoa, Chordata, Mammalia, Rodentia, Cricetidae. The record is from RefSeq and is a predicted model, not a curated record.
AGUGCAGUGACGGAGCCCAGAACGUCACACCUGUCAGGCGAGUGCUGUUCUUGUGUGGGGCCUACAGAAAGCCGUACUGCAGAGCUGACUCAAAUCCCAACCUGUGAGGAUCGCUGUGAACAUUCACCAUGCUUCUAGAAAGAGAGACUUCCUGCAUGGAGAAGCUUACCCUGGAGAGGCAGCCCCAGGGAUGCCCAGUAGUACCUCAGUGAAAUUCCUGGCAGAGACAACAUUUGCAGUCUUCAUAGGCAUUCUGCUAAGCUGCACACAGUCAUGGAGAGAGAAGCUGUUUGUCUUGUGUUCAUUUUGAAGGGAUCUUGAGCAGCAGAACCUCGGUGGGGGUGGGGGGUGCCAGUUAGGCUCCCAACCCACCCAGAAGGGAUGAUGUUCAAGGUCCCAGCCAUAGGUGUGUAAUACCGACUCGCCGUAGUACCGGAAGACCGUGUGGCUGACAAAAAAGGUGAAGAUAAACAGCCAAAGCUCCAUGAGCAUCUCCUAGAAGAUCAGUACCUCAUUCAGCCACCAUUAGAGAAGCUUCCUCCUGCAGCAGAUGGGAACAGAUACGGUGAUAUCACACAGAGAAUGAGAAGAGAGAGACCUUGGAACACUCAGCCUUAAAUCGGAUGUCUCCAUCAAAGUCCUCACCUUGGGGCUCAGAGAAGCCUGCAGAAGAGGAGGCAGAAAGACCAUCAGAACCAGAGGUGACGGAGGACACCAAGAAAACAAGGUCCUCUGGAUCAACAUGCACAAACAUAGAACUGCACCAGGUUCUAAGAGAGUGUAUCCUGGCUUCCAGUUCAGUGUUUUUUGUGGGAUUCCUGAGUGCGGGAAAGAGUGGACCUCUGAUUUUUGUGCCUUUUCUUGGGCCCUCUUUCUUCUAUUCAUUUGUCCUGUCCAACUUCAGUGUGAUAGAUUUUGUUUUAGCUUACUAUAGUUUUAGUUUUAAAAAUGAA